This 334-nucleotide unclassified non-coding RNA is filed under the name soil metagenome. RNAcentral describes it as "partial contains 5.8S ribosomal RNA, internal transcribed spacer 2, and large subunit ribosomal RNA". The stretch from base 1 to 120 matches the Rfam family "5.8S ribosomal RNA", at positions 35 to 154 of the family's 154-position model. The record is from RNAcentral.
GAUGAAGAACGUAGCGAAAUGCGAUAAGUAAUGUGAAUUGCAGAAUUCAGUGAAUCAUCGAAUCUUUGAACGCACAUUGCGCCCGCCAGUAUUCUGGCGGGCAUGCCUGUUCGAGCGUCAUUUCAACCAUCAAGCCCCCGGCUUGUGUUGGGGACCUGCGGCUGCCGCAGGCCCUGAAAUGCAGUGGCGGGCUCGCUGUCACUCCGAGCGUAGUAGUUACAUCUCGCUCUGGGCGUGCUGCGGGUUCCGGCCGUUAAAAGCCUUAUUUACCCUAGGUUGACCUCGGAUCAGGUAGGAAGACCCGCUGAACUUAAGCAUAUCAAUAAGCGGAGGA